GAUGAACGCUGGCGGCGUGCUUAACACAUGCAAGUCGAACGGGAAAUAUUUCAUUGAGACUUCGGUGGAUUUGAUCUAUUUCUAGUGGCGGACGGGUGAGUAACGCGUGGGUAACCUGCCUUAUACAGGGGGAUAACAGUCAGAAAUGGCUGCUAAUACCGCAUAAGCGCACAGAGCUGCAUGGCUCAGUGUGAAAAACUCCGGUGGUAUAAGAUGGACCCGCGUUGGAUUAGCUGGUUGGUGGGGUAACGGCCCACCAAGGCGACGAUCCAUAGCCGGCCUGAGAGGGUGAACGGCCACAUUGGGACUGAGACACGGCCCAGACUCCUACGGGAGGCAGCAGUGGGGAAUAUUGCACAAUGGGGGAAACCCUGAUGCAGCGACGCCGCGUGAAGGAAGAAGUAUCUCGGUAUGUAAACUUCUAUCAGCAGGGAAGAUAGUGACGGU
This 447-nucleotide ribosomal RNA is filed under the name uncultured bacterium. Its description in RNAcentral is "bacterial SSU rRNA". It matches the Rfam family "Bacterial small subunit ribosomal RNA", at positions 28 to 458 of the family's 1533-position model. The record is from RNAcentral.